AGCUAAACCGGACUCGUUAUGCUGACACGUGACGGAAGGAUCAUUACGAAUUGUCACAAGAGCUGUUGCUGGUCCUCAAGCGGGGGCAUGUGCACGCUCUGUUAACACAUCCACUCACACCCUGUGCACCCUCUGUAGUUCUGUGGUUGGGGGACCCAUCCUCCUGCUGUGGUUCUGCAUCUUUACACACACACACUGUAACAAAGUCUCAUGGAAUGCAUCUGCGUUUAACGCAUACAAUACAACUUUCAGCAACGGAUCUCUUGGCUCUCGCAUCGAUAAGAACGCAGCGAAUGCGAUAAGUAAUGUGAAUUGCAGAAUUCAGUGAAUCAUCGAAUCUUUGAACGCACCUUGCGCCCUUUGGCCAUUCCGAAGGGCAUGCCUGUUUGAGUAUCAUGAACACCUCAACUCUUCAUGGUUUUCCGUGAUGAGCUUGGACUUUGGGGGUUUUGCUGGCCUACGGUCGGCUCCUCUAAAAUGAAUCAGCUUGCCAGUGUAUUGGUGGGCAUCACAGGUGUGAUAACUAUCUACGCUUGUGGUUUUCCCACCAGGUAACCUUCAGCAGUGGACAGUUCGCUGGAAGCUCACAGAUGUCUCUCCUCAAGGUGAGGGACAGCCCUUUGAAUGUCUGGAUCUCAAUCAGGUAGGACUACCCGUAAACUUAAGCAUAUCAAUAAGCGGAGGAAAAGAACCUUAACAGGAUCCCCCUUUCACUGGAGUGAAGCGGAAGAGCCCAUUUAAAUCUGACUGCUCUGUCGCCGAUUGUAUCGG
This 771-nucleotide ribosomal RNA is filed under the name uncultured Tomentella. RNAcentral's name for it is "eukaryotic LSU rRNA". The stretch from base 244 to 396 matches the Rfam family "5.8S ribosomal RNA". The record is from RNAcentral. Lineage: Eukaryota; Fungi; Basidiomycota; Agaricomycetes; Thelephorales; Thelephoraceae.